CACGUUGAAACAUCGGUUCCCGUACGAUCACCGAAGUUAAUCAACGUCGUGUUUGGUCAGUAACUAGAUGUGUGACCGCUUGUGAUUAUCAGGUGUCGU
Non-coding RNA from Acanthosepion pharaonis, 99 nucleotides. Lineage: Eukaryota; Metazoa; Mollusca; Cephalopoda; Sepiida; Sepiidae. The record is from the annotation of a GenBank genome assembly.